RNAcentral lists this ribosomal RNA (576 nucleotides) under Porodaedalea laricis. Its description in RNAcentral is "SSU rRNA". It matches the Rfam family "Bacterial small subunit ribosomal RNA", at positions 357 to 949 of the family's 1533-position model. The record is from RNAcentral. Lineage: Eukaryota; Fungi; Basidiomycota; Agaricomycetes; Hymenochaetales; Hymenochaetaceae.
CAAAAUAUUAGUCAAUGCUCGCAAGAGUGAACUAGCUAACUGAAAUCCUUGGUGUGUCAUCGAGGAUAACGUAAGGGAAAAUAAUGAUACCACCUUACUAUUAGUGUCGUCCAAAUGCUCGUGCCAGAAGACUCGGUAAGGCGAGAGACGCAAACGUUAUUCGUCUUGAUCAGGCGUAAAGGGUUUGUAGGCGGCUUUAAGUAUCCAAUUUUAAGUUUACUAUUAUAAUGCUAUAAGUGUUAUAAUAUUUAUUAAAGGGUCAAUUAAAGCUAGAAUCUAACAGAGGUUAAAACAAUACUUAAGGUAGGUGUACUAACCAUAAAUAAUAAGCAGAGUGUUAAGGGCGAAGGCAUUUAUCCACUGAAGAUUGACGCUGAGAAACGAAGGUGAGGACAGAAAAAAGGAUUAGAGACCCUUGUAUCCCUCACUGUCAACGAUGAAUGGUAGUUACUAGGGAGAAAUAACCUAGAGACGAUGUUAACACGAAAACCAUUCCGCCUUGUGAGUACGACUGCAAAGUUGAAAACAAAAAAAUUAGUCGGUUUCGGAGCAAACGAAGUGAAGCAUGUUAUUUAU